This 372-nucleotide unclassified non-coding RNA is filed under the name uncultured Actinomycetes bacterium. RNAcentral describes it as "uncultured actinobacterium contains 16S-23S intergenic spacer region". Lineage: Bacteria; Bacillati; Actinomycetota; Actinomycetes. The record is from RNAcentral.
UCCGGCUUGUCGCCGGCAGUCCCCUUAGAGUCCCCGGCAUUACCCGCUGGCAACUAAGGGCAGGGGUUGCGCUCGUUGCGGCACUUAAGCCAACACCUCACGGCACGAGCUGACGACAGCCAUGCAGCACCUGUGCUAGCCCCUUACGGACACCGGCUUUCACCGGCUUUAACUAGCAUGUCAAGCCUAGGUAAGGUUCUUCGCGUUGCAUCGAAUUAAGCCACAUGCUCCGCCGCUUGUGCGGGCCCCCGUCAAUUCCUUUGAGUUUCACCGUUGCCGGCGUACUCCCCAGGUGGAUUACUUAUCGCUUUUGCUAAGCCACUGAGGGUUGCCCCCCAGCAGCGAGUAAUCAUCGUUUACAGUGUGGACUAC